CCUACGGGGGGCUGCAGUCGAGAAUCUUCCGCAAUGGACGCAAGUCUGACGGAGCGACACCGCGUGAUGGAUGAAGUGCUUCGGUAUGUAAACAUCUUUUAUGAGGGAAGAAGUUUAUUGACGGUACCUCAUGAAUAAGGGCCUGCAAAAGUCGUGCCAGCAGCAGCGGUAAUAAGAGUGGCCCAAGCGUUAUCCGGAAUUAUUGGGCGUAAAGGAUGUGUAGGUGGUUGUAUUAGUCUUCGGUCUAACCUCUGUGCUCAACAUGGAGACAGCCGAAGAAACGGUACAGCUAGAGUAGAGUAGGGGUAAGCGGAACUCAUAGUGUAGGGGUGAAAUCCGUUGAUAUUAUGGGGAACACCAAAAGCGAAGGCAGCUUACUGGACUCUUACUGACACUGAAACAUGAAAGCGUGGGUAGCGAAUGGGAUUAGAUACCCGAGUAGUC
This 444-nucleotide ribosomal RNA is filed under the name uncultured bacterium. RNAcentral's name for it is "bacterial SSU rRNA". It matches the Rfam family "Bacterial small subunit ribosomal RNA", at positions 338 to 795 of the family's 1533-position model. The record is from RNAcentral.